This 462-nucleotide ribosomal RNA is filed under the name uncultured bacterium. Its description in RNAcentral is "bacterial SSU rRNA". It matches the Rfam family "Bacterial small subunit ribosomal RNA", at positions 339 to 793 of the family's 1533-position model. The record is from RNAcentral.
CUACGAGAGGCAGCAGUGGGGAAUAUUGCGCAAUGGGGGCAACCCUGACGCAGCCAUGCCGCGUGUGUGAAGAAGGCCUUCGGGUUGUAAAGCACUUUCACUUGGGAAGAAAAGCUCACCGUUAAUAGCGGUGAGCCCUGACAUUACCUUGAGAAGAAGCACCGGCUAACUCCGUGCCAGCAGCCGCGGUAAUACGGAGGGUGCGAGCGUUAAUCGGAAUUACUGGGCGUAAAGCGCGCGUAGGCGGUUUGUUAAGUCAGCUGUGAAAGCCCCGGGCUCAACCUGGGAACUGCAGUUGAUACUGGCCGACUAGAGUACGAGAGAGGGAGGUAGAAUUCCAUGUGUAGCGGUGAAAUGCGUAGAUAUAUGGAGGAAUACCGGUGGCGAAGGCGGCCUCCUGGCUCGAUACUGACGCUGAGGUGCGAAAGCGUGGGGAUCAAACAGGAUUAGAUACCCCUGUAC